AAAUUCCACAGACAGAGGAGCCCGGCGGGCUACAGUCCAUGGGGUCUCAAAGAAUUGGACAUGACUGGAGAACUGAGCAUACCCUCCCUGAGGCAAGCAUCAUACAGAGUCUGUAUGCAUACUUAUUUAUUUCGUUUUCUCAACAGCCCUAUAAGAAAGAGUGAAAACAAGACUGUACUUUGUCCCAUUUUACAGAUGAGGAAACUGAGGUCCAGAGAGGUUAAGUUACUUGCCCAAAGUAACAAAGCCAAGGAAUUGGAGGAGCCUGAAUUUGAAGCCUCAGAGGAUGGCUCCAGAGCCCCAACAAUGAAUAGCAAUAGGAGUAUUAAAUGCUCACUGAAUACCUGAGGCUGCAUUUAACAUUUUACAUGUGCUGUGUCCUUUAUCCUCACAACAGUGAGGACAGAAUCCAGGGUUAUGCCCAUUAUAUGCAUUAAAGGAGAAUAGCCCAGGACUGCUGGGUGUGGCCAGAUGGUGACCUAACUCUGUUAGAAAGGCCCAGUAAUCCCUGAGCUGCACAUGAAAAGCUUGGCCUGGAGCAGGAGCUCAAUAAGUGUUGCUAUUUCAUUUCCCACUUCUUCUUUCUGGGCUUUCAUGAGCCCCAGCCAGGCUGGAGAAGACAGUGUGGGACUCUGUCCUCAUGACAGAGGGACCUGGCAAACCAGUCACUUUCAGUGUGGAGAGGAAAGUAUGAUGAUGCGAGUGAUGCAGGACCUCUGGGAGACAAGAGGAGGGACCCUGAAUCCAAGAAGACUUCCUGGAGGAGGUUGAAUCAACACCGUCUAGGAGAAUGACAGGUCGGUCCUCAUCUUCAGCUGCUCUUCCCUUCUGCAGAGUCAUUUUGAUUCUGCACCGACUCCCUCCCCAUGGGCUGUUCACACCUUCCACACCCAGCUAGAGGUGGAAGGAGGACACUCACCAUUCAGUCCUCACCCAGGCCAUCGACAGAAACGUCAGACAGCGCUUCCACGCCUGAUCACCUCUCUCGGCUGCCAGGGGCGCCAACACCGGCAGGCGCAUCGAUAAGCUCCCGGCCCACCAACUCUGGGCCUGCCUUGGACCAGUGCAGCUGAGUGGCGGCUUCUCUGGACUUUACUUGGAAGGCGUAGCCUGGACCUCGUCGGGAGUCAUGGGUGCAGAGCACGCACCUCUGGCCUCUAUCCUGAAACACUGGACUGUGGAUCUGAUGCUGGGAGUUCAGACUGGAAAAGGAGAAAAAUAGGAACCAGCAGGUGAUAUAAGGCCAGCAGGGAUGGUCUGGGAACAGUAACGGCUAAGUCCACAAAGGCCCACCAUCCUGGACUCCAAAUCCCUGGCUACAUAGGUU
Long non-coding RNA from Capra hircus (goat), 1327 nucleotides. RefSeq lists it as uncharacterized. The transcript has 2 exons. NCBI's taxonomy places the organism in Eukaryota, Metazoa, Chordata, Mammalia, Artiodactyla, Bovidae. The record is from RefSeq and is a predicted model, not a curated record.